This 464-nucleotide ribosomal RNA is filed under the name Vreelandella stevensii. RNAcentral's name for it is "partial 16S ribosomal RNA". It matches the Rfam family "Bacterial small subunit ribosomal RNA", at positions 338 to 795 of the family's 1533-position model. The record is from RNAcentral. Lineage: Bacteria; Pseudomonadati; Pseudomonadota; Gammaproteobacteria; Oceanospirillales; Halomonadaceae.
CCUACGGAGGCAGCAGUGGGGAAUAUUGGACAAUGGGCGAAAGCCUGAUCCAGCCAUGCCGCGUGUGUGAAGAAGGCCUUCGGGUUGUAAAGCACUUUCAGUGGGGAAGAAAGCCUUGGGGCUAAUACCCUCGAGGAAGGACAUCACCCACAGAAGAAGCACCGGCUAACUCCGUGCCAGCAGCCGCGGUAAUACGGAGGGUGCGAGCGUUAAUCGGAAUUACUGGGCGUAAAGCGCGCGUAAGCGGUCUGAUAAGCCGGUUGUGAAAGCCCCGGGCUCAACCUGGGAACGGCAUCCGGAACUGUCAGGCUAGAGUGCAGGAGAGGAAGGUAGAAUUCCCGGUGUAGCGGUGAAAUGCGUAGAGAUCGGGAGGAAUACCAGUGGCGAAGGCGGCCUUCUGGACUGACACUGACGCUGAGGUGCGAAAGCGUGGGUAGCAAACAGGAUUAGAUACCCCUGUAGUC